RNAcentral lists this long non-coding RNA (926 nucleotides) under Equus caballus (horse). RNAcentral describes it as "lncRNA (ENSECAG00000058168.1)". The record is from RNAcentral. Lineage: Eukaryota; Metazoa; Chordata; Mammalia; Perissodactyla; Equidae.
AAUUGACUGCGGCCUUACUGUGUGCUCUGCCUUGUGCUGAGUAUCACGAAAAAGGAAUCAGAGGAAGAGCUCAAAAUUGUACAAGGAAGAAAGAAAUGUAACGAACUCAUGAUUCGGGCUUGGAGCCAACUGCAUUUUCUUCUACCAUUCUAUUGUGCUGUACCAUACUGUACUUUCAAGAGUGUAGAGGAAAUUGUGAGGAGUUCCAGAAAAAUGGUGGAAUGCAAACAGCUCCCCUUCUCUCCAGGAAACAGAGACCAGGUGACUGUGGUUUUUGAAGACUAAGCUCUCUCUGCCUUUGCGUAAGGAGGUACAAGAUUUCUGCUGAUAAAAAUUUGGAUUUCACUGCUCACUAAAAGAAGUGAUUAGAACUUUAGGCCUAAAGAAAUAUUUGGAAUCUGGAGAGACUGAGGCAGACUGGAAAAGUUUUGGAGAGGCCCAAACAUCACUGCCCAGAGUCAAGAAAGUGAUCUGAAAUACAGCUGCUGCCAGAGAUGCCCCGUGAGUGGGCUGAGAGAAGAGCCUUACGAGGGACGCUAAUGAAGCACUCAGGAACCGUAUUGAAUAAACUCUGCACAGGCCUCACCAAGGGAUUAUCUAGUUGAGUGGGAGUCCUGCCUCAACUAAACAAAUAAUCAUGGGCCGUUAUUCUCAGCCUAUGAUCAAGUCUUUUUGUCCUUUUUUUCCCUCAAGCAAAAACAAACUACUGCUCAAAACCCAAAGAUCAUUUAAAAAAAAAAAAAAGAAAGUCUGAGAAACUGUCCCAGUCAAGGGGAAUCUUAAGGAGACACAGCAAUUAAACGUAAUGUGGUGGUAUUCUAGAUGGGCUCCUGGAACAGAAAAAGGACAUUUGAUGAAAACUAAAGAAAUCUGAAUAAAUUGUAGACUUUAGCUAAUAACAACAUAUCCGGAUUGGUUCAUUAAUU